GCUUGUUCACAAAUGUCAUAACGCUGGAGGGGGUAGGUGGGUGUCCUUCAUGGUGUUACAGCUUGAAAUCUCUACAAGCCCUUUCGAUGAGUGUUACGUAUGUUUGUCUGCGGGCAACGGUUAAAUCCCAAUCCUUUCUGAUUUGCUAGAAGUUGUACAAAACCAUCAAAUUACAAAAAGUACUCAUAAAUUGGUCAGAAAUUACUCAUCCCAAGCUUCCCGUUAUUUGCGCGACAUUUUUAGUAAGUUUGAAAAUUAAUCUCUAAAUUGUAAUAAUUUUAUGAUACUUCAUUCUUUAUCUGAUAUUUUCCAAACCUAAAUCCAAAUUGAAAUAUUUUUUAUUUCGAUUUUAAAUGCCAUAAUCAAUCGUCAUGUUCUUUACGUAAUUAUAAACAGUUACGGCAAGCAUAGAACAAUUCAAAUGGUUCCCAUUGUAGAUGCGCUGGUUGAGACAAUAAGAAAAUCGUUUGUUUCACAUAACAAUUGAUUAUGGCAUUGAAAAUCGAAAAAUGUCAGGGGGUGCGACACUGUAAUCUUUUUGGAAUCAAUUUAAAAGAUUCAAAAAGAUUUGAAAAGAUUCAAGGUGAUUUGGCGGGAUUAAUAGAAAAAAGGACGCACGUCAGUUAUAUCGGAAUAACUGAAUCAUUUCGUUCAGUGUUUGUUUUGAUCUGACUGCUGAUCGUGCAUGGGAACAAAAAGUGACUCUUCACGAAAUCGAGUACGAAAAUUUCGUAAUUUAAUGAAAGUUGCUGGAAAGAGUGGCGUCCGCGUUUCCAUCCGGCAUCGCCGUCAUCCCCCCGAGGUGCAUAUGAAAACUGUAAAAAGUGGACGCAAUCAUCCCGCAAUGCAUCCGGUGUCCAAUGACUGUUAACGGCCGCUCAUCGCCGGAACUUGUGCCAAAGUUACAUCGCGUUAGUAAGGAUCGUCCAUCGCUACCUGAGGAAUCGCGAUGAUUCCUUCGUCACCACCAGUCGAGCGGGUCCGAUAUUCGCGAACUUCCGAAUCGGAGAAAGCUCCCACGCCGAAGCCACGAAGCAUUCUGGAGUAUCGACCUGUGAAGGUACGUCAGCAAAAGCCACCAACCACCACCCACCAAGAAACACAAAGAUUGUGCCGAAAAGAUGCGCGUGUCAAAAUUGAUGGCCUAUCGAAGCAACGCCGCUCAAAUCACCAUCAUGCGAAUCGGAGAAAUCCAGUGAAAGUUUACUGAACAGUUUCACGGCUCACACUAUCGGCACGGUUUGGCGAAAUGGUCCAGUGGAGUUGCGAUCUGAUCCACCCAGGACAUGCGCAUCAAAGAAGAAAUCGAAGAUGCUCUACCGGUACGGUAUGGAUAUUCCCUUGCGUCGGCUGUUCUUCACCAAAGAAUAAUUGAUGACGACCGGUCACAGUUGCCUAUCUUCGUGGGACGAUUUUAAUACGAGUAAUACAAGGGACGCAGCUGAGUGAUCUCGAUCUAGUGGGAGAAAUGAUUGCACAAAUAAAGGAGUGAAGCAGGAGCGCUUUUAGCGAACAGUGAGUACGGUCGCAGUUGAAUUAACGCCGUAAGGUUCCUUUAUCUUAGCGAUUGUUAAUAGACAAUUUCAAUAAUUGAAUUAUUACUUGUUUUGAACUUGAAUCAUUCCGUGGUUCUGUCGAAGAAUCCGAGAGAAUUUAUAAAUUUUCGAGAGGGGAACAUAUUGCAUUAUUUAUGUAUUCAAAUGAAUAAUAUGUUUAUAUAAAUAAAUAACAAAACUAAUUAAAUGUGUUAUGUGAAUUAAUCGAAAGGAAGGCCACAGGUAGGACAAGCUCUGACUACUGGAAAGAAUGUCUCAUGGACUCCUCCAAUCACAGCAAGUAUAAUUCUAGACCAACAUUUGAAAAGGGCGGAAGAGCCAAAAUGUAAACAAAUCACUUUUCAGCAUAAUUUGAUGAAACAACUCAUAAACUUAUGAUUUUUCCUGACGUUAGCUCAAAAAUGAGUUUCCACUUCUGGAAAACAAUAAUUUAAAUAAAGGCGGAUUUCCACAUCUGAUUUUGAUCACUUCGUUUGGUUGUUCCGCCAAUGAUCUUGCGCCUUUGAAAAAAAGCACAAAAAUGCACAAAAUUGUUAACACUGUUGAAUAAACAGUCGAGAACAGCAUCUCGCCAUUCAUAUUAAUCAAAUUUACCCAAAACUUUUACUCCCACUUUUGAUUAAGGCCCCUUAGCGUGUCAUCGCAAAAUGGCUUCUUCAAAAUCAUUGACCGAAAUCAACUUUACACAACAUUGCACCAAUACAUAUUUGUAAAAAAUCGACACUUAUCUUAUUUUAUAAAAUAAUCAAUUUCACGCGAGAUAUUCGACAUAAAAAUGUAUUCACACUACUUCAAAUACAAGCCUCUUUCCAAGUAAUCACGAUUACUAAGCAUUAGUUCACUCGAAAGUAGAAAUUUUUAACGAUUUGUUUCGACCGCACUAAACUGUGGUUGGCGGUGUUUACCACCCACCGCAGUACCAACGACGACGACGGCAGCGCGGUGAUGUCUUUUGGCGCGCACAAUCAUCGAUCAUUGCACGCAGUGAUGUCGAUCCUGCUGGCCAAAGCAUCAAUGAAAAUGAUCGAAAUCAAUUAAAAAAUCCAGUCAAACACAUUGGUUAUGCGUCAUAAAAUCAAAAAUAAUUUGUGGGGUGAUUAUUUUUAAACUUUUUUAACACAAUUGUUAGUGAAAUAAGCAAAGCAUUAUAAUUUACGGAAUCUUCACCAGGCGGUCCGCCAGCACUGCUGUUGCAGCAAACAUAAACAGUGAGAGAGUGUACCAAAAUAAUUCGAUCAUUUCUAGCUUGUUACAUAAAAAAUCUAACAUUUUUCGUGAUAUCUGGAUAUGUUUCCUUGUUAUUCAUUGAAGUAGAGUAGUUUACUGCCUGAGUUGCUUUCAAAUGAUUCAUAUUCUCGAAAUGUUUACAUUGGAAGUACCGAGACAAAGAGGUGCUAUUUUUGUUUGUUUGUUUAUGGAAUUGGUAUAGAAAGGCUACACAACUACUAUCGUGCUUGAUGAUUGUUUGGAAUAAGAAUCAAAUAAGAAGAGCAAAAUUUGAGCUGACACGCUAAGGGGCCUUAAGCCUAGUACUCAGAUGGCAAGAAAUGAGGUCAAGGAAAAAAGUGCAUUUUUACCAAAGUAAUUUUGACAGUCGAUCUUGAGAGAAAAAAAAGAAAAAAAUCGACGAAACUCUUUGUUUACCAAUCUGACUGACUUGGAAUGAAACCGGGACAAUCGGCAAGAACAAGCGAACUCCCCUACCAGGAGCAGGCAUGAAUCUACUGAUCUGGACGGCAGCAAACUGGAAGAUUGACCAGCAAUCCGAGGCGCUCCAGCUCUAUUUGACCGGUGAUAAUCUGAGCGGGCCAACUAGCUGUUUGCUGCAACCGGACACGAUAAGUUUUUGAAAACAUCUAGCUGCUGGAAAAUGUCCCGACAUCCGAUACAGCGGUAGAUUCCGGCAACAGCUCACGGCAGAGUUCCUGUGAUUGCUCCUUUGAUCACCAUCGGGAAGUUAUGAUUAGAUUCUGGCAGAAAUUUUAAGUAAUAGAAAUUUAACAGCAGCUGCGGCCGGCAUGUUGUUUACAUCUCGUACACAACCCGCGAACAGUGCGAGCCUGUCAAGUCACUGAAAUGUCACUUUAACUUGCGGAAUAAUUGGUCAGGCUAUUAUUCCCACAAGGAAAAAGUGACAACUGGUUUGAUCGACACAAUCAUCACCAUCAUCAUUGAUCAUCAAGUUCGUCGAUUUUUCCGUUCCAGCUGAGUACCGCUCAAGAAAUUUCGACAGAAAAUCGUUUCUUGACCGUUUCUUGUCCUAUCUUUUUACACAGUACUUACGAAGUGAGUAUCACCCCUUAAGCCUAGUACUCAGAUGGCAAGAAAUGAGGUCAAGGAAAAAAGUGCAUUUUUACCAAAGUAAUUUUGACAGUCGAUCUUGAGAGAAAAAAAAGAAAAAAAUCGACGAAACUCUUUGUUUACCAAUCUGACUGACUUGGAAUGAAACCGGGACAAUCGGCAAGAACAAGCGAACUCCCCUACCAGGAGCAGGCAUGAAUCUACUGAUCUGGACGGCAGCAAACUGGAAGAUUGACCAGCAAUCCGAGGCGCUCCAGCUCUAUUUGACCGGUGAUAAUCUGAGCGGGCCAACUAGCUGUUUGCUGCAACCGGACACGAUAAGUUUUUGAAAACAUCUAGCUGCUGGAAAAUGGUAUGAUUUCGAUUUUGAAAAGGAAAUGCUUCGGGUAUUCAGGAAAUCCACCGGCGCUUCCUCCAAGGAUUCCUAAGGAGUUCCUCCAGGAAUUCCGUCGAGGAUUCCUCCAGAAAUUUCUUCGGUGAUUCCUCCAGCAAUUUGUGUAGAAAUAACUCCAGGAUAUCCUCCGGAGAUUCAUCUUUAAAGUCCUGCUAGAAU
Long non-coding RNA from Aedes albopictus (Asian tiger mosquito), 4410 nucleotides. RefSeq lists it as uncharacterized. NCBI's taxonomy places the organism in Eukaryota, Metazoa, Arthropoda, Insecta, Diptera, Culicidae. The transcript is spliced from 3 exons. The record is from RefSeq and is a predicted model, not a curated record.